UUUUUUAUGGCCGAGUAGGCAUUAGAUUUUUAAUCUAAUUACGGGUUCUCCCUUUGCGUU
This 60-nucleotide transfer RNA is filed under the name Dolicheulota formosensis. RNAcentral's name for it is "tRNA-Lys". Lineage: Eukaryota; Metazoa; Mollusca; Gastropoda; Stylommatophora; Camaenidae. The record is from RNAcentral.